UACGGAGGGGGUUAGCGUUGUUCGGAAUCACUGGGCGUAAAGCGCACGUAGGUGGAUUAGUAAGUCAGGGGUGAAAGCCCCAGAGCUCAAACUCUGGAAUUGCCCUUGAUACUGCUAGUCUAGAGUUUGGGAGAGGUAAGCGGAAUUCCGAGUGUAGAGGUGAAAUUCGUAGAUAUUCGGAGGAACACCAGAGGCGAAGGCGGCUUACUGGCCCAAAUACUGACAACUGAGGUGCGAAAAGCGUGGGGAGCAAAACAGG
RNAcentral lists this ribosomal RNA (259 nucleotides) under uncultured bacterium. RNAcentral's name for it is "partial 16S ribosomal RNA". It matches the Rfam family "Bacterial small subunit ribosomal RNA", at positions 524 to 776 of the family's 1533-position model. The record is from RNAcentral.